ACCUCUCUCGUCCACUCUCGCUCACUCACCCACUCUCUGGCUCGCCCCAGUCGAAUCCCUAGCUCGCCGCUGCCGCUGCCGCCUCUCCCUCGCACUCGUCGCCAGCGCCUCUCAGUCGCCCGUGUUGCCGGCGCCUCUCCCUCGCCCGCGUCGCUCUGCCUCUCCCUCUCGUGUCGUCGCCGCCACUCCAUUGUCCCUCUCGUCGUCGGCCCUUCAGGACCCCAUUUUUACUUUCCGACAGGUGGAUCCGAAGCGCGGCGGCUCGACCUGCAACGCCGGCAGCUGCGGGCUUUAAUCUGGAGCUCCAUGGCGUCCCACAAGUGCGGCGGCCAGAUGGAGCGGAUUCAUUGCUCCUGCGUGCACCGGGCGCUCCGCGGCCUCCUGUUCAUCAGCAGCAACAAGGCCAACAACGUCUGGAGGGAGGUGCAGGGCAACUUCAUCCCCUUCUGCUGCUGCCCAAUGUCGAGGACGGUCCAGUAGCCGCCGCUCGUCCUGGCGGUGGACGACAGCUUCGUCGACUGCACCGUCAUCUCCAAGAUCCUCCGCAGCUCCAAAUACAGAGGUGGACACAUUGCUGGAGCCGUGUGGCACUCCUAAUGGUCUCAAGCAUACUCCCGUAAAACAUUUGGAGUACAUUUGUUGGUUGAAGUACCAAGAUAUUUGUGGAACUUCAUUGAAGGAGUAAAACAUUUCCAGUACCAAGAUUGCAGUAAAUUUUGUGGAACUUCACUGCUUGAGACCAUGUUAAUGAUGAUGCUUGUGCAGUACCAAGAUUCAGUAUCAGUAGUCGAGUGUUGGUUGAAGUGACUGUUCAAUUGUUCAGUGUUUGUUUUGUUAUCUUCAUUUCGGAAAUUUAUCUUUCCAUUCCUUCUUACUUGUUCGUCAUGUAGAGACUAUACUGCUUUACUUCAGAUAAGUUUUCUUUAAAACCAAAUGAAUUAGGACUUGCAUUUUUUAAUUUAGAGUUUAUGCACCUAAUUUAAAGUUUAAUUUCCUAGUAGAUUUUGAAUGUCUUUUCUUGGUUCUCUACCAGAAAACACGGUACUCCAUUUUCUGGUGAUCACAAGAUAUAAAUCUACUAUUACCAGUACCAUCAUCUGGUGAUCACAAAACCAUUUGAAAAUGAUCAAAGUGUACUCCUUUUCUGUUAAUAUAGAGUACUGAAACUGAAAAUGUGCAUACUGAAACUGAAACUGGUCAAAUGGAGUACAAAACCAUUUGAAAACGAUCAAGAUGAUCAAAAUGGUCAAAUGGAGUACUCCUUCUCAGUUAAUGUAGAGUAGUUACAGUAAUUAUCACAUCAUCAUGCCCUCUUUAAUUGUCACUCAACUGUCACUAAUCGAGUGUUGUUUACUCCAACAAUUAUCUUAUUUUAAUUGUCACUCCUACAAGCAUUUCUUUCUCUUCUCUUUCUGGCUAAUCACUCCACACAAUUUAAAUGAUCAUUCAAGUUCCUUUUGCAAAUUCAAGUUUUGGUAAUGAACUGCUUAUAAGAUGGACUAUGUUCCUUUUGCCUCCCUUGUGAAGCAGUAGUUGUAGAGUACUCCUUUUCAAGAUGUCACCAAGAGUGGCUCCGACCGAGUUAUCACCAAGAGGGGGUCGGCACAGAUUCGUCGCCUCCAUAUCUUCAAGCGUCAUGGCUUGUCGGGGCUUGUAACGAAAUAAAACAAAACAUUAUUAUUUCUGUGAACUGUACACAUUAAAUAGAUACUGGGCCAAAAUCUAAAUUUGAAUCAUGCGACCAGGUUAGGAUGUGAAUUCUGUUCCGUCAGCACUAUUUUAUCAUGUAUGAUAUUUUCUCAUUCUUUCCCAGAACUUGUCUCUUUCCUUGUUUUGAACUGAUGUUUUUUAUAUGGUUGCUUGACAGUAUGAGCCAGAGCUAUUUCCUGGUCUGAUUUCUCCUGGGUGUACUAUGCUUUCUAGUGUCUGAUCUGAUGGCAAGAAUACUGUGUCGACGGUCAACCUGGACUGUAAAUUGGAUCUGAAAGCAAUAGUUCUCCAGGCAUGCAAUGCAGAGUAUAACCGCAAGGUAAAAUCAUUAUCCUAAGGCAUUCAUAAUGAUGUUUGAUUAUUUUUUCUCUUAUUCAGCUCUUGAUGCUAUAUUUCCGAAAACAUCCAAAUUUUAUCACUUUGCUAGCAUCCAGUUUGAUGAUGCUACUAAAUAUCGAACCAUCCAGCCUAACAUAGUGAAGUCACUGCCCUUAUAUAAGAAACAAAAUAUUUAGUUCUUUGACCACAACAAGCCCAAGAACUGUUCACACUUGCAAUCCUCUAAUUUUUCUACUCCUAAUAAAAUGAGGAGAGACGCGACAAGCAUUUCUGCUAAGAUAAAGGGUGGUGCAGACCUGAUUUAUAUAUGUAUAUCCGGAACAACGACUCCCCGAGAAUAAAUGCCUCCGUCCCAAAAUGUUUAUAUAUGUUUUAUGGACAUUGCAACGUUAAAAUGGAAUAGCCUAUGAGAUACUCCCUCCGUCCCAAAAUAAAUGCCUUGCCAUUUGAUCGAACUUCUCUAAACCUUGUACUCGUACUACAUUCAAUUUUUUUUUGCACACAUGAUAAAUUUUGACAUUCGCCGGUGAGGAAAGGACAUCAAAAGCUGCUACUAUAUACUGGGUUAAGUGGACGGAACAAAAAUCACAAAUCUAUACCAAAAUAAUUUGUAUAUAGCCAUAAAACAAAAUCCUUUGCAAGAAGAUGCUACGUACAUACCUUGACCUACAUCAGCAGCAGCAGCCAAACACCAACAGAGAGCACCUUCAAUGAGCAGACUAAGCAGCAUGUGGCGAGGGGAAGUGGCACCACUUGACCACCAUACAACACUCAUCAUCAGGUCAAUGUCCACACUACCCAAGCCUCAAACUCUAGGUUCAUCUCUUUUGUCAAUCUGUUGAGUUGAAUUGAUGCUCUUGGUUAGUGAGAGACAAGAUCCAUGGAGGUUGAUUGGGUACAGGGGUUAGAACUUGGUCUCGAACUUGGUGUCGGGACGAUGUGGGCGCAGCCGGGCCGUAAACCAUCAACAACCAUAUUCCUUGUGUUGAAAACAUAGUCAUGUACCCUUGUAAAUACAAUCAUAAUAAACCUGCUCUAAUGUCGGUCACUACCCGUCUCAAUUCCCCUAACUCGAGGUUGCAACUUGCAACUUCAAGAAUCAUUCUAAUAAAAUCAUACCGUGAGUGUUUUGCCAUCAGGGGCGAUAUCCCUGUCAUGGAAGCACCACCUGUCAACUCCAAGCUUCUUCAUGAACUCGAAUUGAGAUAUCACCGAAACAGAAAUCGAAGCAUAAGUUGUUGAUUCCAGCCAUGGACCUAAGACACAAGAUCAGGUAAUUCCCAUACUUCUUCUCUUAGCCAUGGCCAGGGAAUUUGUGCCAUCCUCCCAAGGCCAGUUCUUUGUAGGUGAACCAAAAGGAUCUCCUCCAGUACCCCGAAACAUAUGCCAGAAUGCCACACUGAACCGCAACCUAACCUGUAGCACAAAACAAAUAUAUAAUCCUAGUGCAGCACAUAAUGUACAAGUAAAUUAAAAGGAUAUAUACCAAAAAGACAUAGUUAUGCAAAUCAUACUUACAUUUUCUUUACAAGAAUCACUUCCUCCGCGUUACACCACUUGUAAGAAAGCUUCCUCUUGCUAGUAGGACCAUGUAGUACAUUUUUUCAAAAACAAAUGUUAAACUGGAAGCAACCUUUUAACAACAAUUAAUCUGUUCAGUUCAAGGUCAAUGGCCUCACCUCAUAGUUGAUCUUGGUAAAGCCCAGGAAGAACUCGCCCUCCCAAUCAUCGGAAGAGGCAUCGCCGCACUUGGCGUCUAUGUCGGCUCAGCAGGUUACCUGUGCGGCGAUUUGCAAGGAGCAACCAAAUCAGAACCAUGAUCGUGUUAAGUUCAUAGAUCAAAUCAUGGGCAUCAUUCAGAGCAGAAAAUUACCACAAAGUUAGCAAUCCCCCGCUCACUGCAGCAUACGGACCACAAAGAAGGAAAAUAAGAAGUUGGGCCAGAACACCCGCAUCACGAAAUCGGUCACCAAGAACAGCACACACUGCUCACUGGAUCGAUGGGCUCCGGGUGUUGUCUCUCCUCUACCUGGUCUCCCGGCGUCCUCUGGAUUCUGCUCCACCAUCUCGAUCGUCUCCCUUGGCGCCGAAUUCUACACACCUCCCAUCAUUCUCCUCCUCCCAUGUGCUCCAGAGUACCCAAUCUGCACGUGAUUUAGACAGACUAAAAAUUCGGUUCACGUUCUUGCGACAAACUAAAAAGUACAGUAUAUAGUUCAUCAUCUAGAUGGUUCAAAGACAUAGUAAAAAUAAAAAUACAACAUGAAUACUUGUGUUGUGAAAACAUUGAUCAGUUGACCAAACAAAUAGUGAAGCCUUGAAUCUUUCUUAGCACAUCAAACAAAUCUCUGUCGGUAUCUCCUCUCUAAAUAAGUAUUAUUUUACGGAUAUCUCAGAAUAAGAUUACCCCAAAAGAGUGCCCCAACAGUAUCUCAAUCUCAUACAAAAAGCACAUAACAUACAAAAACCUGGAUGGCCCGCAAUGAGUCUGCGUUGGCUCCUGAAGGGGAUCGGCGUGACCGUGCGUUCAUACCAGAUGGCUCCUGAAGGGGAUCGACGUCGGCUCCUGAACGUUGCAAAGGGAUCAACGAUGGCAAGGGGAUCGGUGGCUUCAAAUGGUUGCAGCCUUCGUAGCGACGGAACCGGCGCCCGGGAAGGGAUCUGCUAGGUACCUCGACGGGAUCGGCGCCCGCGAAGGGAUCCAGGGGUAGAUGGCUCUAGGAUCACUAUUACCUGAUAACAGAACCAUUUGAAAAUGAUCAAAAUGUACUCUUUUUCAGUUAAUAUAGAGUACUGAAACUGAAAAUGUGCAUACUGAAACUGAAACUGAUCAAAUGGAGUACAAAACCAUUUGAAAACGAUCAAGAUGAUUAAAAUGGUCAAAUGGAGUACUCCUUCACUGUCUCAAACUACCAACUGAGACAUUAGGAGUAGAGAUCCGUCGAAGUCUGAUGAGGCGACAUUAGACAGCUCGACGGGUAUUCUUCUACCUCUGGCGAACUCGAAGGUGACAUUGGAUGUUUCGUUGAAAAUUGAAAUUUCGACGGGACUUGAUGGAUUUUCUGGUCCAAGUAUGCAUCCUGAUGGAGAUUCCGGCCAUGGACCCUUCCUUCUUAUAGCAGCGAAGUCCAAUUCGGGUCGGGCACUACAUUGAUUUGUGUUUUCUUCACUGUCUCAAAGAAGAAUUAUUUGUUCAAUGUCGACCCGUGAGAGGGCUUCAUGGUUUAAAGAUUGUCCCGCCAGUAUGUCUCUCCUGAUCUGUGUGCAUAAUCAGAGAAGGGAUUGUGUAAAUUGAUUUUGUGGGAGCCUCCCUGAACACUGCAAGAUUAAGGUUAGAAAUUAUCCAUUUAAGUUCAUCGGUAUCAACUACUACAUCUGAAAGGAAGAUAAAAAUUAUUACCAGAUACUGUCGACGCGCUAGGGCGUCCUGCUCAGCCCCUUCUGGCACUCGUCCUCGCUGAGCACCACCAGCAGCGGGCGCACCACCGGCACCAUGGCGUCUCCUCCUCACGACGCCUCAGCGCUGCACGCCCUAACAGGAUAUCCUCCUCUGCCUCGUUAUAGGUAUCAAUAGUUAAAAUGCAGGUUUGAACGUAUCAGCAUACCAUUGAGACAAAGAAGAAAAGACUUCACCCCAGUCCCCUUAUCUUGCGCUUGCUCCGAUGUUGAUUUGGAACCAGCCUCUCUAGCAGACAGAGAAUCCCUGUCAAUAACAGCCUCUCAAGUCUCAAAGUACAUACUAAUAAAAUCCUUAUCAAGUACUCCCUCUGUAAACUAAUAUAAGAGCGUUUAGAUCACUACUUUAGUAUUCUAAACGCUCUUAUAUUAGUUUACGGAGGGAGUAAUUUUCUUGUUUCCAUAAUCGAUCAUGAAACUACUGUAGCAGCAUGAACAGUCAAUCCCCAUUAGUAGUGCACACACAGAAAUACAUAGCACAUACUCUUACCAUCUCUCACACAUUAGUAGUGCAGAAACCCACAUUAGUUGUUUGCUUCUGAUCACAGGCAGUCCUCUCCCUCAAACAAAUACAACUUUACGAAUUGGGCUGCAUAUAAUUAGGAGAACGUUAUGGACCUCAAGGUGGUUGCAGAAAUUUAUCAGUUCAACCUCCCUUCCACCAUUCUGUUAAGACAUACCAAAAAAUUGCUUAGCCGUGAAUUUCAUCCAGCAUCUAACAAAUUCAGAGUAAAACUUGAGAACACAACAUCAUAUAAUCAACUCGUACAGGGGACCAAGAUGACAAUCGUGGAUCAGGAAUAUAGUAGUAAGGGGACCAAGAUGACAUUCGUGGCCUCACACAGCCGGUGACGGUGAUCUUUGAACCCCACUCAUGGGGCCGUGCAAUGCAACCACACCACCGGCCAUCGGAUCGGAUCGGAACAGAUGGAAUCGAAUCGAAGUAGCGAACAUACCAGGAGCGCCAGAUCCGAGUAGGGAUAGCCGUGACUGGAGCAGGUGGCUCGGCUAGACGGCCCUAGAGCGGGAGAUUGGAUGAUUUGCCCCAUUUUACUUGGACAUUAGAUGAUUUGCCCCACUUUACAUAGGAUUAGAUCAUUUGCCCCACUUUUCAUUUUUCUUUUGAUGAUUUGCCCUUUUCAAUUACUGUAUUCAUUUUCGAAUUUCUAUCCCUUUUUCAUCAUGUGAAAAGACAAAGUUGCCCCUGUGGCUGAUUUACAAUUCUUCUGUAAUCUCCUCUGCUUUUGGACUGGUCCUAAUUCCAUCGACGAGCUCACCAUUCUCCAGUUCAACGCCUUUCCUCUCUUCUUCAUUCCCCAAUACUCAGAGAAAGCUACUGGAGGAGGCCGACCAGGGCACCUUGGCCCCCAUGUUGGCAGCAGCGGCCCGGCGCGGCAGCUCCCGCUGCAGAUCGUCGGCCCGGCGCGGCGGCUCCCGCUGCAGAUCGUCGGUCCGGUGCGGCGGCUCCCGCUGCAGCUCCUCGGCCCGGGGAGGCGGCUCCGGUUGCAGCUCUGCCGCCCACCGCGGCGCCUCCCGCUGCAGCUCGGCGGAUCAGCGGGUCCCGGAGCUCCCGCUGCAACUCGGAGCUGCAGAUGGUGCGCUCGUUGCUGGUGAGAGAUCUAUAUAUAUGCGGUGGAUCUGCCUCUCCACUAGCCAUGAACAUGACGACGCAAGCAACAGAAUCAAUCUAUGAUUUGUGAGUACCUGGUUCCGUUGGGUACAACCAUGUAAAGAAAGUAGAUAUGAUUUGUUCCCUGUUAAUUAGUUGCUUCAGUUGGACAUGGCUUGUAAAGAAAAAAGAUUUGUACGGUAUCAAACUGUAAAUCAGCCACAGGGGCAACUAUGUCUUUUCGCAUGGAGAAAAAAGCAAUAAAUAUUCAAAAAUGAUUACAGUAA
Triticum aestivum (bread wheat) is the source of this 7401-nucleotide RNA transcript. RefSeq lists it as uncharacterized. The transcript is spliced from 4 exons. The record is from RefSeq and is a predicted model, not a curated record. Lineage: Eukaryota; Viridiplantae; Streptophyta; Magnoliopsida; Poales; Poaceae.